This 424-nucleotide ribosomal RNA is filed under the name Macrotermes gilvus. RNAcentral describes it as "partial 16S ribosomal RNA". The stretch from base 1 to 167 matches the Rfam family "Bacterial large subunit ribosomal RNA", at positions 1797 to 2024 of the family's 2925-position model. The record is from RNAcentral. Lineage: Eukaryota; Metazoa; Arthropoda; Insecta; Blattodea; Termitidae.
CGCCUGUUUAUCAAAAACAUCUUUUCUUGUUAGUUUUUGAAGUAUGGCCUGCCCGCUGAUUUUAGGUUGAAGGGCCGCGGUAUUUUGACCGUGCAAAGGUAGCAUAAUCAUUAGUUCUUUAAUUGUGAUCUGGUAUGAAUGGCUUGACGAGGCAUGGGCUGUCUUGGAUUAGGAUUGUUUAUUGAAUUUGGUUUUUGAGUUAGAAUUCUUAAAUGUUUUUAUGGGACGAGAAGACCCUAUAGAGUUUAACAUUUGUUUAUAUAGCUUUUUUGGUUUGUUUUGUAGUUGCUUUGUGUUAAUGUUUUGUUGGGGUGAUGGGAAGAAUUUUCUUAACUCUUCUUUAUUUUGGUAUAUUGAUUUAUAUUGGUUUUGAUCCAUUUAUUUUGAUUAUAAGAUUAAAUUACCUUAGGGAUAACAGCGUAAA